UCAUCUCAUAGUGGGACGGGUGUCUC
This 26-nucleotide small RNA is filed under the name Bombyx mori (domestic silkworm). RNAcentral describes it as "ovarian small RNA-26164". The record is from RNAcentral. Lineage: Eukaryota; Metazoa; Arthropoda; Insecta; Lepidoptera; Bombycidae.